GAUGAACGCUGGCGGCGUGCCUAAUACAUGCAAGUCGAGCGAACAGACGAGGAGCUUGCUCCUCUGACGUUAGCGGCGGACGGGUGAGUAACACGUGGAUAACCUACCUAUAAGACUGGGAUAACUUCGGGAAACCGGCGCUAAUACCGGAUAAUAUAUUGAACCGCAUGGUUCAAUAGUGAAAGACGGUUUUGCUGUCACUUAUAGAUGGAUCCGCGCCGCAUUAGCUAGUUGGUAAGGUAACGGCUUACCAAGGCAACGAUGCGUAGCCGACCUGAGAGGGUGAUCGGCCACACUGGAACUGAGACACGGUCCAGACUCCUACGGGAGGCCGCAGUAGGGAAUCUUCCGCAAUGGGCGAAAGCCUGACGGAGCAACGCCGCGUGAGUGAUGAAGGUCUUCGGAUCGUAAAACUCUGUUAUUAGGGAAGAACAAAUGUGUAAGUAACUAUGCACGUCUUGACGGUACCUAAUCAGAAAGCCCCGGCUAACUACGUG
This 497-nucleotide ribosomal RNA is filed under the name uncultured bacterium. RNAcentral describes it as "partial 16S ribosomal RNA". It matches the Rfam family "Bacterial small subunit ribosomal RNA", at positions 28 to 507 of the family's 1533-position model. The record is from RNAcentral.